Callithrix jacchus (white-tufted-ear marmoset) is the source of this 4705-nucleotide non-coding RNA. The record is from RefSeq and is a predicted model, not a curated record. NCBI's taxonomy places the organism in Eukaryota, Metazoa, Chordata, Mammalia, Primates, Cebidae.
GUCCUCUGAGUAUAAUGUAUCCAGGGCUUACCUAAAACAUAACAAAUACAUGCCUCACCCAUUAUAUAUAAAUAUAAAUAUAUGUAUAUGUAUAUUUAUAUAUAAACACAUAUAUAACAAUAUGAUUUCCCACAUUAAGAAGUUCAUUCUUGACCGGGAGCAGUGGCUCACGACUGUAAUCUCAGCACUUUGGGAGGCUGAGGCGGGUGGAUCAUGAGGUCAGGAGUUCAAGACCAGCCUGGCCAAGAUGGUGAAACCUCGUCUCUACUAAAAAUGCAGGAAAAAAAAUAGCCAGGUGUAGUGGCAAGCACCCAUAAUCCCAGCUACUUGGGAGGCUGAGGCAGGAGAAUCACUUAAAAUCUGGGAGGCAGAAGUUGCAGUAAGCCGAGAUCACAUCACUGCAAUCUAGCCUGGGUAACAGAGCAAGACUCUUAUCUCAAAUAAAUAAAUAAGUUCAUUCUUUUGAAUAGUUUCACGUCUACAGAAAUUACAUAAGGAGUAUAUACUGUACAGAAGGCACUAGAUGUGAUUGCUCAGGGAGAGUGAAAAGACAUGAAGAUCUUAAUUUCUGCCCAUGAGAUCCAGAGGCUGGGAAGUUGAAUAUCCAGGUGAUGGCAGAUUUAGUGUCUGAUCUUCUAACAUAUUUUGGGUGAUAGAGAAAAAUGUUGCAACUAUAACAUAAAAUAAAAGACAAUCAUCAUUUGUUGAACUGCUAUCUGCAAAGCACUGGAUUAUUUAGCAAGAAGAGGAGAAAAAUGUCAUCUGUCCCUUGAUCUCACGGAGUUUAUAAUUAACUACAGAUAGAUAGAUCGCAGCCUAAGAUAGUCUUUGCAAGAUACAAUGAUUCUGUUAGAUAUUUCUUCAUUAGAAGGACUUCAUUUCCGUAUUGAAAUUACAAAGCUGCCUCAGGUAUUUAUGCAUUUUAUUUUUCUUCCCUGUGUGCAUUGCUCCACCUGUCCCACUGGGUUCUGUUUUCUCUAUGGAUUGUGUUCAUCUCCCACAAAAGCCAACAGAAACUCCGGCAAAACCUAGGGGAACACAGGCAAUCCCCUCUGCCACCCCUAGGGCAUGCUCAGGAGGACAAUGGUAUUGUUGCUAAAUAGCACUUGCCAGGCGUCCAGGGUUGGAAAGUCUCACCUACUCUGUCACCUGGCAGCCCUCCUCCCAGAGUUAGCCACCAGUAGUACUUAUUAAAUUAUAAUGAUCUACUUUAAAUAUCAGUAAAUGAUGGUGCAACUGACUUUAAAACCAAUUUGGAUAUUUGCUGGACAUAUCUGUCAUUAAGGCUGAUUAUUAAAGGCUAUAUAAAACUUAAGAAUGUGGCUGUCCAGAAGGGAUCUAACAGUUUUCCUUAAUUUUUAGCUUAAACAGAGACAGACCAACAUUAUAAUCCUGGAUAACCAAUCUAUUACCUUCCAACUGCCUGGGGCCAGAGCCUGGGGGCAGUGUGGUAGGUGCCAAUUUUGGUCAAGUCAGGUCUUUCUUAGGGGCAGUCAUGAGAAGUAAGAGUCAAGAGUUGUAAAUAACUAUAAUCCAUUUUUCUGAAAUCUCAUAUAGUUUCUAUUUUUAUAAAUUUAAAAGUAUUAUUCUGAAAAUGGAAUCCAUAGGCUUCACAAAAAUGCCAAGGUGAUCCAUGACACAAAACCAUUAAGAAUCCCUUAAGGCUGACCUAACGCAGUGGCUCACAUCUGUAAUCCCAGCACUUUGGGAAGCCAAGGAUGGGCUGCACACUCGCAACUAAGAGCUUGAGACCACCCUUGCCAACAUGGCGAAACCCCAUCUCUGCUAAAAAAUACAAAAAUUUGCUAGGUGUGGUGGCACAUGCCUGUUAUUCCAAUUAAUUGGGAGUUUGAGACAUGACAAUUGCUUGAACCUGGGAGGGAGCCAAGAUCGCACACUGCACUCCAGCCUGAGUGACAGAGUGAGAUUCCAUCUCAAAGAAAAACAAAAUUCCCUAAAGGUUGUCCAGAAAUCAGUUAAUGUGCAAGCAUAGCAAAUGCAUGGGAGAAAGUAGAGUAGAGAGGUCACUUUCCAUAAGGAAAAUACAGUGAGGUACUGAAAGUCCAAAGGAACAUGGACCUAAAAUAUUAUUGUGAAAAAAAAAAAAAAAAAAAACAGGCAAUAGAAGGGAGUUUGCAAUAUCAGGAAGGGAACAGAUUAGGACUAGAUAAAGAUUAAUUAAUCAUUGGGCAUGGAGAAAUUAUUCCAAGACAAGCAUCAGGGAGAAACCUGAAUGCUCUCUUUAUCUUGCAAGUAGGGUCUUAAAAGAAACAGGGACCCACUAAAUAGUCACUUAGCAGAAAUAGCCAAGAACUACUAAUUAUUGUUUAGUUACUCAAUUAAAGUAAAUGUAAAAAUGUAUUGAGCACUUAUUAUGUACCAGGUACCACAUGCUAGAUGACAGAUAUCCAAUGGUAUAGAAACAACAGAAAUGGUCUUUGACCUUGUUAAACUUACAGUGGACUCGGAGAGACAGGCAUUAAUUGAGUGAGUAAGAACACACAAAAAUUAUGAUAAGCUCUAUGGGGGGAAAGAGUAUGGUGGCAACAAAGGCAUUUACAGUUUGGUAGCCAGUGAAAUUGAAGCUCUGGCCCAAAGAUGAGCACAAAUUGGCCAGGCAGAGUAGAGGGAGGGUGCUCCAGAUGGAGCGAGGAGCAUGUAGGAAAAGAGGGUACUGCUGCUUAGUAUUUGGAAUUAUUAUACUCUUCAACACACUGUAGAAAUUGGGUAGAUUCUCCACCUUGAGAAGAAGAAAAGAGAGUAUAGGGGUAGAAGUCAGGUAAGUAAGGGAGCAGGGAAAUAAGGAGAAAGAGGCAAACUUUUACCUUCUAAUCCUUGGUAUGACUAGAGGCUGAGGAACCACCUCUUCUUUCAUUUAUUCUCCAAAUCAGAGCUAUCUUUUCUCUUUUAUACCUUUUGCAAUGAAAAUAAUAUGAUGAAAAGAAAAAGAGAAGCCCUAUUUCAUUUCAGUAUUUACUGAGAAUCCAACAUGUACAACUAAGACGGUGCUAUGGAGCAUAUACAAGUGAGCACAACACUUCCUCUGCAGAACAAUCGAGUGAGAGGCAGAAAAAAAUCAAAUAGAAUGCCUGCUAGGUGUUGAAGUAGAGCCACCAGCCCUCUGGGUGGCCUUAGGCAGGUCAGGUCUCCUCUGGGAGCCUUCCUUUCACAUCUGUCAUAGAGCUUGUAGGCAACUGACUUUGUGAAGUUCCUUCCAGGUUAAACAGACUGUGCUCCAUUUUUUAGACUGUCAUUAGAAAAUGCUCAAAUACAUCUGUGUUUGUAUAUGAUUGGAGGCAGUCAACAUAUUUAAGAGAUCAGACAUAUAAUUAAAAUUUUGUUGUUGAGGUGGGAUUUCUCCCCCUUUUAAGUGUCACUUUUGAUAAACCUGAGCCUGAAUUGAGCUGUUCAGAGAUUAAGGAGAUUAACAUACCAUAAUACGCACAUACUAAUUCACUAAAUGUCUAGAGGUUGAUGUUGGGGCUUUAAGGAGGGGUGUUUCUUGAGGCUAGGCACAGGACUAGGUGCUAGAAAUUCCAAAGUACCUAAAACGUGGUCCUUGCACUUUAGACAUUCAAUGGGCUCAAAAUGGAAGGGGCCAUGUAGAAAAUAGUGAGCAUAAAGAGUUCCCUGUUUAAUAAAUGGUGUUGGGAAAACUGGCUAGCCAUGUGCAGAAAGCAGAAACUGGACCCCUUCCUGACACCUUACACCAAAAGUAACUCCAGAUGGAUUAAAGACUUAAACAUAAGACCUGGCACCAUAAAAACCCUAGAAGAAAAUCUAGGCAAAACCAUCCAGGACAUAGGAGUAGGCAAGGACUUCAUGAACAAAACACCAAAAGCAUUGGCAACAAAAGCCAAAAUAGAUAAAUGGGACCUAAUCAAACUCCACAGCUUCUGCACGGCAAAAGAAACAGUCACUAGAGUGAAUUGGCAACCAACAGAAUGGGAAAAAAUUUUUGCAGUCUACCCAUCUGACAAAGGGCUGAUAUCCAGAAUUUACAAAGAACUCAAACAGAUUUACAGGAAAAAAACAAGCCCAUUCAAAAAUGGGCAAAGGAUAUGAACAGACACUUUACAAAAGAAGACAUACAUGAGGCCAACAAACAUAUGAAAAAAUGCUCAUCAUCACUGGUCAUUAGAGAGAUGCAAAUCAAAACCACAUUGAGAUACCAUCUCACGCCAGUUAGAAUGGUGAUCAUUAAAAAAAUCUGGAGACAACAGAUGCUGGAGAGGAUGUGGAGAAAAAGGAAUACUUUUACACUGUUCUUGGGAGUGUAAAUUAGUUCAACUAUUGUGGAAGACAGUGUGGCGAUUCCUCAAGGCCUUAGAAAUAGAAAUUCCAAUUGACCCAGCAGUCCCAUUACUGGGUAUAUAUCCAAAGGACUAUAAGUUGUUCUACUAUAAGGACACAUGCACACGAAUGUUCAUUGCAGCACUGUUUACAAUAGCAAAGACCUGAAACCAACCUAAAUGCCCAUGAUGAUAGACUGGAUUGGGAAAAUGUGGCACAUAUACACCAUGAAAUAUUAUGCAGCAAUCAGAAAUGAUGAGUUCGUGUCCUUUGUAGGGACAUGGAUGAAUCUGGAGAACAUCAUUCUCAGCAAACUGACACAAGAACAGAAAAUGAAAUAUCGCAUAUUCUCACUCAUAGGUGGGUGAUGAAAAAUGAGAACACAUGGACACAGGGAAGGGAGUACCAAACA